Long non-coding RNA from Hemicordylus capensis (graceful crag lizard), 367 nucleotides. RefSeq lists it as uncharacterized. The transcript is spliced from 3 exons. The record is from RefSeq and is a predicted model, not a curated record. Lineage: Eukaryota; Metazoa; Chordata; Lepidosauria; Squamata; Cordylidae.
UGGAAUCGAGAUAGCCUUUUCCUUACUGCUUUGUCCAAGAUGGGACAUUCUUUCCCAGGCAAAAGUGCUUGCAGGAACCAUCUUCAAUGCUGGCCACAGCAAUUUUGUAUAUGGUGGCAGCUGAGAAAAUUCGAGCAAAGAAUAUGUCAGAUCUCUUAAGAGCUGGUGUAGCAUAACUGUGAAGAGACUGAACUGUGAAUGGGAACUCCCCACAUGGAACUCUUUCCUCUGCUGUGAAAUCAUUAACCAAGACACUCCUUCCCAGUCCCAGCGGCAACAUGGGGACGAGAAGCCUUCUGUAGCUUAUUGGAUUGUUGCAAAUUUAAACAAUACAUGUGAAGUACUUCAUGCAUGUAAAAGUUGCUAU